RNAcentral lists this ribosomal RNA (1195 nucleotides) under Salmonella enterica subsp. enterica. RNAcentral's name for it is "partial 23S ribosomal RNA". It matches the Rfam family "Bacterial large subunit ribosomal RNA", at positions 582 to 1773 of the family's 2925-position model. Lineage: Bacteria; Pseudomonadati; Pseudomonadota; Gammaproteobacteria; Enterobacterales; Enterobacteriaceae. The record is from RNAcentral.
GGUUUACCUGUGUGACUGCGUACCUUUUGUAUAAUGGGUCAGCGACUUAUAUUCUGUAGCAAGGUUAACCGUAUAGGGGAGCCGGAGGGAAACCGAGUCUUAACCGGGCGUUAAGUUGCAGGGUAUAGACCCGAAACCCGGUGAUCUAGCCAUGGGCAGGUUGAAGGUUGGGUAACACUAACUGGAGGACCGAACCGACUAAUGUUGAAAAAUUAGCGGAUGACCUGUGGCUGGGGGUGAAAGGCCAAUCAAACCGGGAGAUAGCUGGUUCUCCCCGAAAGCUAUUUAGGUAGCGCCUCGUGAACUCAUCUCCGGGGGUAGAGCACUGUUUCGGCUAGGGGGCCAUCCCGGCUUACCAACCCGAUGCAAACUGCGAAUACCGGAGAAUGUUAUCACGGGAGACACACGGCGGGUGCUAACGUCCGUCGUGAAGAGGGAAACAACCCAGACCGCCAGCUAAGGUCCCAAAGUCAUGGUUAAGUGGGAAACGAUGUGGGAAGGCCCAGACAGCCAGGAUGUUGGCUUAGAAGCAGCCAUCAUUUAAAGAAAGCGUAAUAGCUCACUGGUCGAGUCGGCCUGCGCGGAAGAUGUAACGGGGCUAAACCAUGCACCGAAGCUGCGGCAGCGACACUAUGUGUUGUUGGGUAGGGGAGCGUUCUGUAAGCCUGUGAAGGUGUGUCGUGAGGCAUGCUGGAGGUAUCAGAAGUGCGAAUGCUGACAUAAGUAACGAUAAAGCGGGUGAAAAGCCCGCUCGCCGGAAGACCAAGGGUUCCUGUCCAACGUUAAUCGGGGCAGGGUGAGUCGACCCCUAAGGCGAGGCCGAAAGGCGUAGUCGAUGGGAAACAGGUUAAUAUUCCUGUACUUGGUGUUACUGCGAAGGGGGGACGGAGAAGGCUAUGUUGGCCGGGCGACGGUUGUCCCGGUUUAAGCGUGUAGGUGUGUGUUCCAGGUAAAUCCGGUUCACUUUAACACUGAGGCGUGAUGACGAGGCACUACGGUGCUGAAGCAACAAAUGCCCUGCUUCCAGGAAAAGCCUCUAAGCAUCAGGUAACAUCAAAUCGUACCCCAAACCGACACAGGUGGUCAGGUAGAGAAUACCAAGGCGCUUGAGAGAACUCGGGUGAAGGAACUAGGCAAAAUGGUGCCGUAACUUCGGGAGAAGGCACGCUGACAUGUAGGUGAAGUGAUUUACUCA